This 492-nucleotide ribosomal RNA is filed under the name uncultured bacterium. Its description in RNAcentral is "partial 16S ribosomal RNA". It matches the Rfam family "Bacterial small subunit ribosomal RNA", at positions 29 to 507 of the family's 1533-position model. The record is from RNAcentral.
AGUGAACGCUGGCGGUACGCCUAACACAUGCAAGUCGAACGGCAGCACAGUAAGAGCUUGCUCUUACUGGUGGCGAGUGGCGGACGGGUGAGGAAUACACCGGAAUCUACUUUUUCGUGGGGGAUAACGUAGGGAAACUUACGCUAAUACCGCAUACGACCUACGGGUGAAAGCAGGGGAACUUCGUACCUUGCGCGAUUGAAUGAGCCGAUGUCGGAUUAGUUAGGUGGGGGGGUAAAGGCCCACCAAGGCGACGAUCCGUAGCUGGUCUUAGAGGAUGAUCAGCCACACUGGAACUGAGACACGGUCCAGACUCCUACGGGAGGCAGCAGUGGGGAAUAUUGGACAAUGGGCGCAAGCCUGAUCCAGCCAUACCGCGUGGGUGAAGAAGGCCUUCGGGUUGUAAAGCCCUUUUGUUGGGAAAGAAAAGCAGCAGGUUAAUACCCCGCUGUUCUGACGGUACCCAAAGAAUAAGCACCGGCUAACUUCGUG